Molecule: ribosomal RNA, 318 nt
Filed under: Triticum aestivum (bread wheat)
Lineage: Eukaryota; Viridiplantae; Streptophyta; Magnoliopsida; Poales; Poaceae
Description: partial small subunit ribosomal RNA
Source: RNAcentral
AUGGUCUGUGUUACUCACGACUAUGAGGGCCCCUGGCACGGCAUUGGUGUAGGGCACACAGGCGUUUAUGAGGAAGAGGUUGAUGACCAACACGGUCACAACGGUGCACAUGAUGAAGGCGGACAUGAGGAAGGCAUCCCGGUGCGUGAGGGCAGUGUUGGGCACGAAGUCGAAUAUGAAGUUCUGGUUGAUCCGUGUGCUCUUCCACAUGAACAAGUUGCAUCCGUAGAGGAAGCAGUGCAGGCUGAUGAGUGCGAAGAUGCUGCAGGAGAACAAAGGAGGAUCUACUGUCAGGUCAAGGUAAAAUUUCAUCCUUAA